CGCCUGUAGCCUACAGCCUAUAACAUAAAUUGUGAGAAAGAUGAUAAUCUCUUCUCGCUCCACAUUGAUUCAUCAAUUCAACUAAAUUUGGGGUGCAGCAAAUGUCAAAGUUAGAACGAAAAUGGAUGGCCGAAGCUGUCAGUCAUAGGCAUGUUCUGUUACUAAGAUUUACAAUCUCGCACAUUUGUAGGACUAAGUCUACAAAUACUAGAAUAAAUUGUUAGUCUUUUAAUGAAUUUACGACCAGAUAAAACACGUCAUUGAUAUGAACUACCUCACUUUGGUGGUAUCUGCGGAACCCUAGUGGUGAAGGAGAGGAGUGCAUAUGAUGGGCUUAGCAACAGGUGGAGAGCCGGUCAUUAGUCACCUAUGAACUGGAGACGCGAUGACACACAAAGACUGGAUGAGUGGUUGAAUGGAUUCCUUUACUGCGACGAUUACUUAAUUUUACGAGAUAACUCUUUUUAUAUUAUAAGAUAGACUAUUAUUUUUUUCAAUUACAAAUGAUCCGUUAUGUGUUUUCAUCCUCUGACAAAGCAUAUUGAUGGAAACCCUGUUGUUAAGUCAAGUUCUUGUUUGUUUGUUGUUUUGAUGUUGCUUUUUAUUUUCCUCUGGGCAGAGACAAAAGCUCUGGCAAACGCCUGAAGGUCUGAUUUUUUUUUUCUGUCUCCAGUGCUGGAGUUAGAUAGAUAGGAAGUGAGGGAGAAAAUAGGCUGUGCUCUCCGUCACGCUGAACGGCACUUGAACACGUUUGUCACCGCCGGAGGAGGGGAGACGUGCGGGGAAUCCUAACGUUACGCCCAGGGCUCGGCCACGGCACUCCACUGCCAAGAAAGGGAGACAGAAAACAAGCAUGACACAAAGGAGGACAUUGCAGUCUUUCUCCCGUUACAACAGCCGUUUUGUAAGUUGAAGCACUUGCGUGGAGAAGAAGCCCCCUCCGCGGGGGUUGGCCACUGGCAAACAGAGCUGGCAAAGAUCACAGAGAGAGACAAAAGCGAGCAGUUAUGCGCAAAAAUAACUUCGAGUUGACCUAUUCAUGUGUUGUUCAGCAGUUGGACCUGUCAAUCACUCUCCUCAAUGGCCCUUCUCCAUCUCUCUCCUGCCCACUCAUGCGAGCCCUCAGCAGAGAGCGUAAUUACACCUGCAGGCCUCAGGGGAUGGAGGACGUGGAGGACGUGGCUACAGGAAGUGAAGGACGGAGGAAUGAGGAACCGCAGACGCACGGAACUCAUAAACAAGGUACCGUGUUUCAGGAAGAGGUGUCUCAAAUCAGUAGCCCCUCUCGUUUCAUGUUGACAUUCUCAUCCAGCUGAAGUGUCAUCACUGCAUAAAUAGGAUAUCCCCCCGACUUCCAUUCAAUAUCAAAUUACCAUUUUGACAGAAGAUUGACACUGUGUACGAGUGUGGUAGAAAUUGAAGCAUUGAAGGCUCAAUGUACUCAAGGUAGUUUGGAUAUAUGAAAUAACAGCUUAUAUAUUGGCAUCUUUUUUUGUUUAUUUAUAUAUUAGCAUAUUCAACUACAGAAAACUACAGGUAGGAAGAGGAUGAAUGACACACAGUGCACACAUCAUGCUGUCCUCACUGUCCAGAUCAGCUUCCUUCUGUUCCUCCAGUGAACCCAAAACAUUCGGUUUAAUACUUCAAACAUGACCAGUGAUUGGUCGACUGGUGUGAUGGACACUGGAGAUAACCAGUGGUGUGUUGAUGGAUUUGAUGUACACAAGAGGUGGUCACUGGUUGGUUAAUAGGCUUGAUGCACAAGUGGGCAGAGAGAAAAGGGAAGGGCUAAAAAAAGA
This is a long non-coding RNA of Clupea harengus (Atlantic herring), 1799 nucleotides long. The record is from Ensembl. Lineage: Eukaryota; Metazoa; Chordata; Actinopteri; Clupeiformes; Clupeidae.